Molecule: unclassified non-coding RNA, 256 nt
Filed under: plant metagenome
Description: partial contains small subunit ribosomal RNA, internal transcribed spacer 1, and 5.8S ribosomal RNA
Source: RNAcentral
UCUCCGUAGGUGAACCUGCGGAGGGAUCAUUCACAUGAUUUACUUUAUAAACAAACUGUUAACUUUAUUAUUUAUUAUUCUUGUAAGGAUUAUUUUAUAAUCUUUUAUAACGUCAUUCGAUGAACAUUAGAUAGUUGGCUUGUUUUUUUUUAAAUAAACAACGUUCUCAGCUGAUUUGUUUGUUAGACUAAACAUCUAUUCAAACAAUCAACCAAAAACAUAAAAACAACUCUAUGCCCUGGAUAUCUUGGUUCUC